GAUGAACGCUGGCGGCGUGCCUAAUACAUGCAAGUCGAACGCAUAGCGAAAGGUGCUUGCACCUUUCAAGUGAGUGGCGAACGGGUGAGUAACACGUGGACAACCUGCCUCAAGGCUGGGGAUAACAUUUGGAAACAGAUGCUAAUACCGAAUAAAACUUAGUGUCGCAUGACACAAAGUUAAAAGGCGCUUCGGCGUCACCUAGAGAUGGAUCCGCGGUGCAUUAUUUAGUUGGUGGGGUAAAGGCCUACCAAGACAAUGAUGCAUAGCCGAGUUGGGAGAGUGAUCGGCCACAUUGGGACUGAGCCACGGCCCAAACUCCUACGGGAGGCUGCAGUAGGGAAUCUUCCACAAUGGGCGAAAGCCUGAUGGAGCAACGCCGCGUGUGUGAUGAAGGCUUUCGGGUCGUAAAGCACUGUUGUAUGGGAAGAACAGCUAGAAUAGGAAAUGAUUUUAGUUUGACGGUACCAUACCAGAAAGGGACGGCUAAAUACGUG
Molecule: ribosomal RNA, 497 nt
Filed under: uncultured bacterium
Lineage: Bacteria
Description: partial 16S ribosomal RNA
Rfam family: Bacterial small subunit ribosomal RNA
Source: RNAcentral